CAGCAGCACGGGAAUACAGAGGGUGCGAGCGUUAAUCGGAUUUACUGGGCGUAAAGCGUGCGUAGGCGGCUUCUUAAGUCGGAUGUGAAAUCCCUGAGCUUAACUUAGGAAUUGCAUUCGAUACUGGGAAGCUAGAGUAUGGGAGAGGAUGGUAGAAUUCCAGGUGUAGCGGUGAAAUGCGUAGAGAUCUGGAGGAAUACCGAUGGCGAAGGCAGCCAUCUGGCCUAAUACUGACGCUGAGGUACGAAAGCAUGGGGAGCAAACAGGAUUAGAUACCCCGGUAGUCCCUGUCUCUUAUACA
RNAcentral lists this ribosomal RNA (301 nucleotides) under uncultured bacterium. RNAcentral describes it as "partial 16S ribosomal RNA". It matches the Rfam family "Bacterial small subunit ribosomal RNA", at positions 509 to 808 of the family's 1533-position model. The record is from RNAcentral.